Molecule: small nuclear RNA, 101 nt
Organism: Delphinapterus leucas (beluga whale)
Lineage: Eukaryota; Metazoa; Chordata; Mammalia; Artiodactyla; Monodontidae
Source: Ensembl
UUGCUUUGGCAGCACAUAUACUAAAAUUGGAAUGAUACAGAGAAUUAGCAUGGCCCUUGCACAAGGAUGACAUGAAAAUUCGUGAAGCAUUCCACAUUUUU